RNAcentral lists this ribosomal RNA (300 nucleotides) under uncultured Parvibacter sp. RNAcentral describes it as "bacterial SSU rRNA". It matches the Rfam family "Bacterial small subunit ribosomal RNA", at positions 496 to 795 of the family's 1533-position model. The record is from RNAcentral. Lineage: Bacteria; Bacillati; Actinomycetota; Coriobacteriia; Coriobacteriales; Coriobacteriaceae.
UCGAUGUCGGGGCCGGCGGCGGUGGUAUGACGGAUGUUGGAGGCGUUAAUUGGAUUUACUGGUCGUAAGGCGUGUGGAGGUGGUUGGUCAAGUCGGUUGUGAAGUCCCUGGGCUUAACCUGGGAACUGCUUCCGAGACUGAACGACUAGAGAUCGGUAGAGGGCGGUGGAAUUUCCGGUGUAGCGGUGAAAUGCGUAGAUAUCGGAAGGAACACCAAUGGCGAAGGCAGCCGCCUGGGCCUGAUCUGACACUGAGACACGAAAGCGUGGGGAUCAAACAGGAUUAGAUACCCCGGUAGUG